Triticum aestivum (bread wheat) is the source of this 3031-nucleotide RNA transcript. RefSeq lists it as uncharacterized. The transcript is spliced from 4 exons. The record is from RefSeq and is a predicted model, not a curated record. NCBI's taxonomy places the organism in Eukaryota, Viridiplantae, Streptophyta, Magnoliopsida, Poales, Poaceae.
UCCCCCCACCAGGAGAUCGGGGUCGACUUCGUCGCCGGCGACGGCGCCCUCGCGUUCGGCUCCGGCAUCAGGGACCUGAACAUGUUAGGGUCGUUCGAGCUGGUCCUCCUCCCGCUCCUCGCGCUGCUCUUCCCCUCCCCCGCCCCCGCCAGUGUCGCCUCGCUGUGCCCGCUCGCGGCGACCUCCAACGCCUCCUCCCACACCUACGCCCGCCCCGUAUCCCACCUUCUUCGACGAUGUCGUCGACAAGUAUGGCUGGGACACCGACGCCCAGGUCCAGGUCUAGCCACUCGACGCCGAGGGCGCGCUCGUCGGCGCCGUGCAACGCUACGAGUUCCACGCCCACGCGAGGGGCACCGCGGUCGCGCUGGCGUGGGCCAACCGACGGGGCCGUCGAUUGGGGUCGCUCCGACGCCCCCACGGUGGAGGAGGUGGUCGGGCCCGACGGGGUCGACUUCGUCGCCGGCGAUGACGCCCUGGCGUUCGGCUCCGGGGUCACGGACCUAAACAUGGUAGGGCCGUUGGAGCUGGUGGUCUCCAAUGGCGUUGGCGAGGGCCUCGCAGAGCUCGAGUUGCUGUCGGAUUUUCAAAUCGUAGGAAUAGGAAAAGUAUAGGGUUGGAGUGGCAUGCACACAUGAAGCCUACAGGAUUAGCAUGGAGUGUUUGAUGGCAUAGGAAAAGCAAAGGAAUUGUAAAAAGAGGUUGGAGUGGAUGUUAGAUUUCUUAUGAAAUGUAGUACAAAAGAUUCCAUAGGAAAAAUUCCUAUGGAAUCCAAUCCUAUGAAUCAAAGGACCAACAUAGGAAAAAUUCUUAAGGAUUUCAAUCCUCCAAAAAUCCUAUAAAAUUCCUUUGAAUCAAAGGAGCCCUUAGUACAUAUAUAUCUGGUUUAAUUUUUGUUUUGUGUACAUUGUAUCGACUGGAACUAUUUUCUCCUAGAUUUGCAGGUAAAUUUGUAAGGAUAUGCAACAAAAUUGAACAUCAACACCUUCAGUGUGUGAGGUGCGCGUGGAUGACCGAUAUGUGUGAAGUGCGUGAGGAUAGCUAUAUUCACAUUCUUCCAAUUUCGAGAGAGGAAGAUAACUCAGUAGUACUGCCAAUUUUGGCACGCAAUGUUCGUUUUUCAGAUUCACCAUGAUUGGUAAUGUUGUUUAGUACUGAAAACUUUGUCAUGGUUCAAUAAAUAGGCAGUUAAUUUUGUUGUUAGAAAGGCAAAGCAGUGCUACAAUAGCAUGGUUGAUUUUGGUUGCUAGAAGGAAAAGCAGUGCGACAAAUUUUAGAACUAGGAUGUUGUUUUUCACAGUUCAGUCAAGUAUUGCUUAUUUGCAUUGUACAAUCACAAUUCUAAGCUUAGGCUUCUUUUAGUUGUGUAGCAUUGUAGAACUGGAUCCGUUUUUCCUAGCAGAUCAACACAUUUGGUCGGAUUUAGCUUAUUUGAUAAUGAGCAAACAAUAAAUGGUGUGAAUAUAUGCGGAGUCGAUGGAAAACAUUGAAGCCAGUAGUUGUAUACCUAUUUCGAAAAUCAGAAUUGGUUAGUAACAUUCUACAUCAUGGUAUUACGGUUUACAGUACUAAGCUUGAUGCUUUGUAUGGUUCUUUAAUACUAAGAUUAAUAGUGACGUUGCUGCUUGAGUUACUUUGGAUUUAACCUUGUUAUGCCAAUGACAUAUAUAGGUUUCUCGGUUUGCUGCGCUGCUCUUCACAGUCGUGCAGCUGGCCAUCGCCGCUAGGGAUUUGUCGUCCAAGGCAGUCAAUCCUUUCCUGUAAACUUGCAGAUGGAAAUCAUCAUUUUCUCUCAUGUUACUUUAGGAAACUUUGCUCUGUCAUGUAGCACUCAGUUUUUUAAAAACAUACUAUAUAUGUAGCCCUCAUCAACGUUGUGCUGGGCCAUGAGUGGGCUUCCUCGAUUAGCAAAAAAGAGGUGUUGAUGUGGGGGAUAAGUUUACAGUCAAUUGAGUUUGCUUACGAUUGGGCUUGAAAAAAAGGGUUCGUUUGUUUAAUAUAGUCUGGCCUUGCUCCCUUUACAUAUAUACCCAUGAGUUUAUAUAUGUCCUCGAGUUACACAGAGUAUCAACAAGCCUCAUCGGGUAUCAACGGGCAGAGGCUGAGGACUGGAUAACGAAGGAAUGGAAAUGGUGGGCUAAUUAAAUGGAAUUUGUGAAAUGCAUGAUUUAAGAAGUUGGUUGCAUGGAAAUUAUAUAUGUAAGAAAUUAUGCUUGAUUACUGCUGAAUGGCUCUCUCGGCAACAUGGGCCAGCAGAUCUCAUCACCAUGCCGCAGCCAAGAUGGAGCUGGGAGGGAAUUACUGAAAGAAUGUCCCAAACACAAAAUUCUAGAUUCUCUACUGAAGGCAUAUAGGUACACACAGAUCUUAGUUGGAAGACCAUCCGCCAUCGUCUCCGCCGACUUUUUGCCGGAAGACCAUCAGUCGUCACCUAGACCUACUUCGCCGCAGCCCAUUCAUUCGUCACCUGCCAUAGAGCAUAGUGCUCCUUGCUAUACGGCGGACCUGGUGAAACUGUGCAAAUAAUUAACAAACCAAACCCCACCUGGAUAGUGCUACAGAUUUGCUUAGUGGGCAGGAAUAACUGGAGUACUAUUUCUUCUUUAAGGGCGUAUUUCGGAGGGGAGCAUACACAUUACCUUGAUUGAGUUGAGUUUCGUGUUCUGCAUUACUGUUAUAAGUUACCAGCAGCAAAGAAAGAGAGUCAUGUACUAAUAGCUGAUAAGGUAGUCUGCUCUUGCAGAUCAUCUGGUUAUUCAUUUUCCCAUACAAGUGUUACUAAACUCUACUAAGUUCUAUAAUGACACAAGAUUAACUUGUUACAGGACAAGUGUACCGAGUAAUAGCAGCAAAGAAAGAGAGUCAUGUACUAAUAUCUGAUAAGGUAGUCUGCUCUUGCAGAUCAUCUGGUUGAUCAUUUUCCCAUACAAGUGUUACUACACUCUACAUUUGCGUAGAGUAAUAACACAAGAUUAACUUGUUACAGGACAAGUGUACAGAGUAAUGAGUAUGGACAGAAAAUUUGUUUCUU